Molecule: ribosomal RNA, 301 nt
Filed under: uncultured bacterium
Lineage: Bacteria
Description: partial 16S ribosomal RNA
Rfam family: Bacterial small subunit ribosomal RNA
Source: RNAcentral
CAGCCGCCGCGGGAAUACGAAGGGUGCAAGCGUUAAUCGGAAUUACUGGGCGUAGAGCGUGCGUAGGCGGUGAGUUAAGUCUGCUGUGAAAUCCCCGGGCUCAACCUGGGAAUGGCAGUGGAUACUGGCUCGCUAGAGUGUGUCAGAGGAUGGUGGAAUUCCCGGUGUAGCGGUGAAAUGCGUAGAGAUCGGGAGGAACAUCAGUGGCGAAGGCGGCCAUCUGGGACAACACUGACGCUGAGGCACGAAAGCGUGGGGAGCAAACAGGAUUAGAUACCCCGGUAGUCCCUGUCUCUUAUAC